UACAAUGACUUCAUUUGAUAGUGACAA
RNAcentral lists this non-coding RNA (27 nucleotides) under Rattus norvegicus (Norway rat). The record is from RNAcentral. Lineage: Eukaryota; Metazoa; Chordata; Mammalia; Rodentia; Muridae.